RNAcentral lists this long non-coding RNA (3355 nucleotides) under Homo sapiens (human). Its description in RNAcentral is "HSALNT0063272". Lineage: Eukaryota; Metazoa; Chordata; Mammalia; Primates; Hominidae. The record is from RNAcentral.
GUAAGGACCUUGUUAAAACGCAGUUUCUGACUCAGUAGUGUGAAUGGGGCCAGAAUGCUGCAUUUCUAACACUCUCCCAGAUGGUGCCAAUGUUCCUCAUCCACAGACCACAGCUGAAGUAGCAACUAUGUAAACCUCAGGCUACUCAUCACAGUGCAGAGUGAUUUCACCUAAAGGCACAACAGCAGCUGAUUGCCACAAUACAAACAAGAGCCGCCACUUACUGACAGCAGCUACGUGCCAGGUAAGUCAAAUGAGGAAGAACACCUUCAGUGUGGGGGAGAAAUGGGUCUUCAACGUCAUCUUAGACCAGUGGCUCUCAAAGUAUAUAACAGCAGCGUCAACAUCAGCAUUAUCUGGGAACGUGUUGGAGAUGUGAAUUCUUGGGUUCCACUUCAGACAACGAAUCAGAAAUUCUGGGGUAUGUGAGAAGAAACAUAAAGAAAAAUACCUGUGCUUGUGAAAGAAAGAGGCAAAGAAAAUAUUUUGAAGUGAGAAGCCCACAAGAAGGUGUAAUAUCCAAAAUUCUCUUUAUAACAAUGUGAAUUAGGUGCAGACAUUGGGUUGAAAGGUUUUCUGUAACUAAUUGUUAUGGCUGAAGAAAUAACAAGACUGGCUAUAUUUUUAGCGGAUAGCCUGUCAAUGUGGAAAGACAAUAGAAGAUACUUUGUAGUCUGGGAAGAGGUUAAAAAACAUAUACCCAACUAGGUUGUAAUGAAAAUUUCAACCAAAAGGAAAGUGGCACAUACCCAGCUUUAGGAAUCAUAUGCAAACAUCCUGAGAAGAAAACCUUACCUUCUAAAAUGUUAAGUAAUAAAAAAAUGAAUUGACACAGUAUAUAUUCAAAGAUAAAAGGAAAAGUGAGAAAAGAAAUGACAGUAACAUGCAAUGGAUGGAAAAUAAAUAUCACUCCAUAGACAAAAGAAAUUGUGGUCAAACACUUCUCAUAAAUUGUAAAUUCAUAAAUAAGUAAACAUAUAUAUAUGUGCUUGUGUGUUUUAAAUAUUUGUGUUGUGUAAGAACAUGCUUGCAAUUCAUUUGUAGAUCUUGUUGGGGUAUUGGCAAUCAUAUAGCAUAUGCAUAUUGAUAUUUUAAUUUAUUUUUUCUCUUAAUCCUAACUUUGAUUCAUUUGUAUUGUCUUGUAUAGGCUGGGGCAUUUGACACAAGGUUAAGUAGAGGUAGCAAAGUAUAGAAGCAAUGAAAUCAGUAUAUUUCUGCCUUUAAUGAAAGUGCUUCUGAAGCUUCACUGUAUAUAUGCCCAAGAUAACCAUUAUCAGGUUAAGAAAGAUCUUCUCUAUUUAUAAUUUAAAAGAUGCUUUUCCAUGAAUAAGUGUUGAGCUUUUACUAAGUGUAUUUUCCCUUAUAUUAAGGUCAUCAUGAUUUUUUUCUUUUAAUCUGUUAAUUUGGUGAAUUAUAUUAAUCAAGUUUCUAAUGUAAAAUUACCUUUUUUUAUUUUCCCAGAGACAUUUUGCUUUUGCUUUUGCUAAGACCUCAAAAUGUUACCAUUUGGGGAAUAUUUUACUGAUACAUUUUCAGCUUGGGGCUUCUUGGGCAAGGUGAGCCAUAAAAAUGUGAAUUCCUAAAUUUGUAUGAUGGCUCAUAUCUGAUUACUAAUUUUAUAUGAAGUAUUUUCUUCUUCUUCUUUAUUUUAUUUUCACUAAUAGCACUGGCCCUGACAGAUCAACAUUUUUUUUUCCUUUGCUUGUUGAUAUAUUUAUUCUUGUCAAGUGUUUCACUGAAUAUAUAGUUCUUUGGUUCUUCAUUGAAAAUGAACUUUUUGAUUCCCCACUUUCUUCUUUCCAAAGGUUCUAGAUCUGGUCAUCUCUCUUUCUCUGUUGCAUUAAAGUUAAAACCUUUUCACUACUCUUUGGAUACCCCAAAAUGUUUAAGUGCCAAUUUCAGCUUUCACUUGAUGUUGAAGCUCUGAGUAUUUUUCCUUCCUCCUUUUGAGCUUUACUUUCAUUUUCGUUAUAUUUUAACCAGUAUUUCCAGUUUUUUGGUAUAGGGAAUUUUUAGGCUAUCUAGUUAGCCAUACAAAGAAAAAUUAUCAACAGGACAUUUUUGAAGUUAGAUAAUGCUGGUGACCUUGAGUCUGGUAUGCUAAAAAUGUUUGUGUGUAUGUUUUCUGAGUCUUAACUACUUCCUAACAUAAUUUGUGCAAUUUUCUUUCAAAUCCCAAUUCCUUAGUAUUUUUAUGUUUACUUGUACACAUUGUUUUGAUCUCAUAUAAACAAAGACCUUGACUUGCAGUUAUGUGUGUACUUGAUCCUUGACAUAACAUUGGCUCAAAUCAAUAAUUUGAUAACAUAAAGCUGAUUUUGGCCUAUACAAAUAUCUUGGUCCUUCUCUGAGGGUGCUGCUGCAUUGUGUUGAACUGUAAGUUCAAGUUGCUGCCUUUUUUCUCUUCUCAGAAAUAUUCAUAUUAAUAAGCCUUUUGCUUUAUGCCAAAGUAGAACAUUUUUAAUGAAGGAAUCUUAAUUUGAAUUGGCCUAAUGUUAUUAGCAUACUCAGAGAGAUUUACAAAGGGUCAGUUGAAAAGAAUAAAGCUAGUAUUUCAUGAUACAUAAUUUGAAGUUUUUGGUAGUACUGGAAAAUAACAUUUUCAAAUGUAUUUAAAUCUUUCUACUUUUAUAACUGUGUUGUAUAUCAAAGCUAUUUGAAUUAGUUAGGGAAGGAGUUUACUUUUAAUAUAAAUUCAGUGCAUAAUAAGAGCAAGCUUAUAUUGUAGUAACUAUAUGCAGGCAUUGUUUCAACUACUUUACAUAUAUUAACUCAUUUAAUGUGCACAAUGGCCAUCUAUGAAGUAAUUAUUAUUAACCUUUCCAGUUUACAGUUGUGGACAGUAAGGCAUAGUGAGAUAAAGUAUCUUGUGCCAAGUCACACCACUGGUUAGAAUAGAGCUUAGAGAGUAAAACUCAGUCAAGAAUCCAUAGUCUAGUCCCUUAACUACAUGAUAUUACUUUCUUUUCCUGGCUGCAAAAUAUAUUUUCUAUGAUUUCUAUGGUUUAUUCUAUAUUAAAUAAUGUAUUAAAGGGGUAUAAUGAAUUUGAUGCUCAAUUAGCCUGUUUUUGAAGAAAGCUUAUAUACAUUUUGCAUAGCAGGUUUAUAUUCAAAAUUGACAGAUAGUAUAAGCUUUUAAAAAUCUUUGAAGACACCCAUAUUUUGUAUUAAGUGCCUCAUAAAAUUAUUUUAAAAUAUGUAUGUAACUUGUACUGUCUUCCUUAAUAAAUUUCUGCAUACGUCUUGGUUUAUUCAGCUUUUGUAAAUCUUAUUACCCACACAAGAUGCAGAUCAUCAUAAUAUAUUUUAGAUUGAUCAGGUUAGUAUUAUUGACCUGGAAUGAACAUUAAAGAUU